Molecule: transfer RNA, 69 nt
Filed under: Ictidomys tridecemlineatus (thirteen-lined ground squirrel)
Lineage: Eukaryota; Metazoa; Chordata; Mammalia; Rodentia; Sciuridae
Description: Spermophilus tridecemlineatus (thirteen-lined ground squirrel) tRNA
Rfam family: tRNA
About the family: Transfer RNA (tRNA) molecules are approximately 80 nucleotides in length. Their secondary structure includes four short double-helical elements and three loops (D, anti-codon, and T loops).
Source: Rfam by way of RNAcentral
GGGGUUGUGGCUCAGCGGUAGAGCGCUCGCCUGGCAUGUGCAAGGCCCUGGGUUCAAUCCUCAGCACCA